AGCUUUUUGGCUAUCUCUUUCAAUGCUUUCACUGCAUAUAUAUAGCCAAAAAUGAACCCAAGGGGAAUUGAAAAACCAGAUAAUAUUUUACAAAGUAGGAAUAUAUAUGUGUAGACAAUAAUUAAACAAGUUUAUAAUUACCUUCUGCUGGAUGGAGCUUGGACUUGGAAUUACUGGCUGCUAAACAGUGAACUGUGAAGAAAACUAGGAAAAAAGAAGAAGAGAAUAUAGAUUUAAGAAGCAUUAUGCUCAUUUUCUAGCUACCUAUAAUUAAAUUGUAAGCAAUACGAAAUACUUGAGAAUUUCAGUACUCCUUUAUGAGCAUAGAAAAAAGAAGAUUGGGUGAAAGUUCAUUUUAUAAGAGUGAAGUGCUGAUGAGGUGGGGGCAUUAUAUAUAUGUAGGAGAUAAGAGAAUUAAUUUGAACAAAGAGGGGAUUGGUUGGUAGUGACAAUUGCGACACCCCUUUCUUGGAUCUUUUUAUUACUCUAGUAUAUUGUAAAUUCUUU
Molecule: long non-coding RNA, 507 nt
Filed under: Nicotiana tabacum (common tobacco)
Lineage: Eukaryota; Viridiplantae; Streptophyta; Magnoliopsida; Solanales; Solanaceae
Description: long non-coding RNA (NTAB_LNC017137)
Source: RNAcentral